RNAcentral lists this ribosomal RNA (23 nucleotides) under Schizothyrium pomi. RNAcentral's name for it is "partial 28S ribosomal RNA". Lineage: Eukaryota; Fungi; Ascomycota; Dothideomycetes; Mycosphaerellales; Schizothyriaceae. The record is from RNAcentral.
GUUGACCUCGGAUCGGGUAGGGA